Collariella sp. IMI 366227 is the source of this 121-nucleotide non-coding RNA. The record is from the annotation of a GenBank genome assembly. NCBI's taxonomy places the organism in Eukaryota, Fungi, Ascomycota, Sordariomycetes, Sordariales, Chaetomiaceae.
GGGUGACUAGUCUAGUGGUCAGGACGCUUCGUUGUGGGAUUUCGCCUAAAAAACGGCUCCCUUUGGAAUCUCCCGGUUCCCAACGACCGAAGAAACCCCGGUUCGAUUCCGGGGUCGCCCA